Molecule: small RNA, 78 nt
Filed under: Salmonella enterica
Lineage: Bacteria; Pseudomonadati; Pseudomonadota; Gammaproteobacteria; Enterobacterales; Enterobacteriaceae
Also listed under: 4 other names
Description: partial RtT sRNA
Rfam family: RtT RNA
About the family: This family represents a bacterial cis-regulatory element known as RtT RNA. The exact function of RtT is unknown although it is thought that it may be involved in changing the cellular response in relation to amino acid starvation.
Source: RNAcentral
AUAUCUCUCUGUACGGGAAGGAUGAGAAGCUUCGACUAAGGUUCGAUUCGAGCGUCAGCGAGAAAGCGUUGCCGCAGG